GGACCCGCACAAGUAGUGGAGCAUGUGGUUUAAUUCGAAGAUACGCGCAGAACCUUACCAACACUUGACAUGUUCGUCGCGACUUUAAGAGAUUAAAGUUUUCGGUUCGGCCGGACGAAACACAGGUGCUGCAUGGCUGUCGUCAGCUCGUGUCGUGAGAUGUUGGGUUAAGUCCCGCAACGAGCGCAACCCUCACUUUUAGUUGCCAUCAUUUAGUUGGGCACUCUGAAAGAACUGCCAGUGAUAAGCUGGAGGAAGGUGGGGAUGACGUCAAGUCCUCAUGGCCCUUACGUGUUGGGCUACACACGUGCUACAAUGGUAGUGACAAUGGGUUAAUCCCAAAAGCCGGUCUCAGUUCGGAUUGCACUCUGCAACUCGAGUGCAUG
This 386-nucleotide ribosomal RNA is filed under the name uncultured bacterium. RNAcentral's name for it is "bacterial SSU rRNA". It matches the Rfam family "Bacterial small subunit ribosomal RNA", at positions 917 to 1322 of the family's 1533-position model. The record is from RNAcentral.